UUAAGCGACUAAGCGUACACGGUGGAUGCCCUGGCAGUCAGAGGCGAUGAAGGACGUGCUAAUCUGCGAUAAGCGUCGGUAAGGUGAUAUGAACCGUUAUAACCGGCGAUUUCCGAAUGGGGAAACCCAGUGUGUUUCGACACACUAUCAUUAACUGAAUCCAUAGGUUAAUGAGGCGAACCGGGGGAACUGAAACAUCUAAGUACCCCGAGGAAAAGAAAUCAACCGAGAUUCCCCCAGUAGCGGCGAGCGAACGGGGAGCAGCCCAGAGCCUGAAUCAGUGUGUGUGUUAGUGGAAGCGUCUGGAAAGGCGCGCGAUACAGGGUGACAGCCCCGUACACAAAAAUGCACAUGCUGUGAGCUCGAUGAGUAGGGCGGGACACGUGGUAUCCUGUCUGAAUAUGGGGGGACCAUCCUCCAAGGCUAAAUACUCCUGACUGACCGAUAGUGAACCAGUACCGUGAGGGAAAGGCGAAAAGAACCCCGGCGAGGGGAGUGAAAAAGAACCUGAAACCGUGUACGUACAAGCAGUGGGAGCACGCUUAGGCGUGUGACUGCGUACCUUUUGUAUAAUGGGUCAGCGACUUAUAUUCUGUAGCAAGGUUAACCGAAUAGGGGAGCCGAAGGGAAACCGAGUCUUAACUGGGCGUUAAGUUGCAGGGUAUAGACCCGAAACCCGGUGAUCUAGCCAUGGGCAGGUUGAAGGUUGGGUAACACUAACUGGAGGACCGAACCGACUAAUGUUGAAAAAUUAGCGGAUGACUUGUGGCUGGGGGUGAAAGGCCAAUCAAACCGGGAGAUAGCUGGUUCUCCCCGAAAGCUAUUUAGGUAGCGCCUCGUGAACUCAUCUCCGGGGGUAGAGCACUGUUUCGGCAAGGGGGUCAUCCCGACUUACCAACCCGAUGCAAACUGCGAAUACCGGAGAAUGUUAUCACGGGAGACACACGGCGGGUGCUAACGUCCGUCGUGAAGAGGGAAACAACCCAGACCGCCAGCUAAGGUCCCAAAGUCAUGGUUAAGUGGGAAACGAUGUGGGAAGGCCCAGACAGCCAGGAUGUUGGCUUAGAAGCAGCCAUCAUUUAAAGAAAGCGUAAUAGCUCACUGGUCGAGUCGGCCUGCGCGGAAGAUGUAACGGGGCUAAACCAUGCACCGAAGCUGCGGCAGCGACGCUUAUGCGUUGUUGGGUAGGGGAGCGUUCUGUAAGCCUGUGAAGGUGUGCUGUGAGGCAUGCUGGAGGUAUCAGAAGUGCGAAUGCUGACAUAAGUAACGAUAAAGCGGGUGAAAAGCCCGCUCGCCGGAAGACCAAGGGUUCCUGUCCAACGUUAAUCGGGGCAGGGUGAGUCGACCCCUAAGGCGAGGCCGAAAGGCGUAGUCGAUGGGAAACAGGUUAAUAUUCCUGUACUUGGUGUUACUGCGAAGGGGGGACGGAGAAGGCUAUGUUGGCCGGGCGACGGUUGUCCCGGUUUAAGCGUGUAGGCUGGUUUUCCAGGCAAAUCCGGAAAAUCAAGGCUGAGGCGUGAUGACGAGGCACUACGGUGCUGAAGCAACAAAUGCCCUGCUUCCAGGAAAAGCCUCUAAGCAUCAGGUAACAUCAAAUCGUACCCCAAACCGACACAGGUGGUCAGGUAGAGAAUACCAAGGCGCUUGAGAGAACUCGGGUGAAGGAACUAGGCAAAAUGGUGCCGUAACUUCGGGAGAAGGCACGCUGAUAUGUAGGUGAAGCGACUUGCUCGUGGAGCUGAAAUCAGUCGAAGAUACCAGCUGGCUGCAACUGUUUAUUAAAAACACAGCACUGUGCAAACACGAAAGUGGACGUAUACGGUGUGACGCCUGCCCGGUGCCGGAAGGUUAAUUGAUGGGGUUAGCGCAAGCGAAGCUCUUGAUCGAAGCCCCGGUAAACGGCGGCCGUAACUAUAACGGUCCUAAGGUAGCGAAAUUCCUUGUCGGGUAAGUUCCGACCUGCACGAAUGGCGUAAUGAUGGCCAGGCUGUCUCCACCCGAGACUCAGUGAAAUUGAACUCGCUGUGAAGAUGCAGUGUACCCGCGGCAAGACGGAAAGACCCCGUGAACCUUUACUAUAGCUUGACACUGAACAUUGAGCCUUGAUGUGUAGGAUAGGUGGGAGGCUUUGAAGUGUGGACGCCAGUCUGCAUGGAGCCGACCUUGAAAUACCACCCUUUAAUGUUUGAUGUUCUAACGUUGACCCGUAAUCCGGGUUGCGGACAGUGUCUGGUGGGUAGUUUGACUGGGGCGGUCUCCUCCUAAAGAGUAACGGAGGAGCACGAAGGUUGGCUAAUCCUGGUCGGACAUCAGGAGGUUAGUGCAAUGGCAUAAGCCAGCUUGACUGCGAGCGUGACGGCGCGAGCAGGUGCGAAAGCAGGUCAUAGUGAUCCGGUGGUUCUGAAUGGAAGGGCCAUCGCUCAACGGAUAAAAGGUACUCCGGGGAUAACAGGCUGAUACCGCCCAAGAGUUCAUAUCGACGGCGGUGUUUGGCACCUCGAUGUCGGCUCAUCACAUCCUGGGGCUGAAGUAGGUCCCAAGGGUAUGGCUGUUCGCCAUUUAAAGUGGUACGCGAGCUGGGUUUAGAACGUCGUGAGACAGUUCGGUCCCUAUCUGCCGUGGGCGCUGGAGAACUGAGGGGGGCUGCUCCUAGUACGAGAGGACCGGAGUGGACGCAUCACUGGUGUUCGGGUUGUCAUGCCAAUGGCACUGCCCGGUAGCUAAAUGCGGAAGAGAUAAGUGCUGAAAGCAUCUAAGCACGAAACUUGCCCCGAGAUGAGUUCUCCCUGACCCUUUAAGGGUCCUGAAGGAACGUUGAAGACGACGACGUUGAUAGGCCGGGUGUGUAAGCGCAGCGAUGCGUUGAGCUAACCGGUACUAAUGAACCGUGAGGCUUAACCUU
RNAcentral lists this ribosomal RNA (2902 nucleotides) under Escherichia coli. RNAcentral's name for it is "bacterial LSU rRNA". It matches the Rfam family "Bacterial large subunit ribosomal RNA". The record is from RNAcentral. Lineage: Bacteria; Pseudomonadati; Pseudomonadota; Gammaproteobacteria; Enterobacterales; Enterobacteriaceae.